CGGCUGCGGCUGCGGCUGCGGCUGCUGCGGUGGUCAAAGUGUGGACGCCGCUUUGGGACAUCCCCUGUGGGCUGCAUCGAAAGCCCGCGAGCCCGAGGAUCGGCAGGUCUCGCCCCUGACACUCGUGUCGUGAGCCGAUCUCACCUCAAAGCCCGAAGCCCGAUCCUGAAAUCAACUGUAGCAACCAGUGAAACCACCCGUUCGAAAUCUCUGCACCUCCAUUUUCAAAGAGCAUCUUCCUGGACUAGACGUGGAAAACACUGUGGCUCAAAGCAUUAUACUCACAAAGAGUUCAAAGGGAUGAUGAAUACAGAAUAAGAAAUUUUGGGAGAUCAAAAUUCAGGAGUUCAGUUCCAGCCUGGAAAACAAGAUGAGGGAACUUCCCAGCCUGCACCAAUGUUCACAUUUCUGAUUGCAUUACAAGAUUUUUUCUUUUUUGACCUCAGAAGUCACUUGGAAACUUUUGGGGGAAAUUUCAGCACAUCUUUUAAGUUUUGUUUAUGGUAAGCAGAGGAGAUACAUUAGGACUUAGAGAAGUGUCUCACCCUCCAGGCUCAGUAGCCUUACCAUCAACCCCCCCCAUGUUUUCCUAUCCAGGCUUUGGGGUCACAUUUCAUUUUCAGUGUGAUUCACGUUCACAGUUUACCAUUACAGCUAGCCAUAGUUUUAGUGGAUUGUCAUAAGUCUUUGCUGAGGUGUGUGUGUGUGUGUGUGUGUGUGUGUGUGUGUGUGUGUGAGUGAGUGUGGUUUUUUGAUUGGUUGGUUGGUUGGGUCUGUUGUUUUGUUUUUUGGCAGAAUUUUUCACAUUUUUAUGGUAGUAAAGUUUACAUUAGCAUUAAGAAAUGCUUUCCUAGUUUGUUAUUGCCCAGUAGCUGCUUCUCAGUACUGCCAGCUUUCAUGGCAUUUUCAGUAUUGUUUUUAUUUUGUGUCUUGAUCUUUGCACAUGAACCAUGCCAUUAUUAGUUUCUACUGGAAAUACUUACGUGUGUGGUAUGUGUACCUGCUCGUGUGUGUAUGCCUGCACAUAUGUGCACAUGGGUGUGGAGGACAGAGACUGACUUUGGGCGUUUCCAUUCAUCAGCUCUUCGGCUCAUGUUUGGAGCAAGGUCUCUCACUGAGCCUGUAAUACAUCAGCUCAGAGAGGCUGGCUGGCCAGUGAGACUCCGGGAUCUGCCUGUCUGGCCCUCUCAGUACUGGGGCUGUCGUCACAGCAGACGAGCACCUCACUGGCUGGGUCAUCUCUCUGACCCUUCUGGAAACAAUUUAUCCAGAAUUCCUACUCAGGGCUUUCAUCUUCGUCGUCUACUUUAUCUUCAUGCCCAUCAGUCCCUGCUGUGCCUUCACGAGCAUUUGUAUCCAUAUCUCUUGUCUUCUUCAUGGUCUUUUCAGUCCUACUUUUCAUUGGUGUCAUUUGAGCGGGGGCACUCUAUAACUACCAUGUGGGGGAAGCUGCUCCUCCAUGAUCCCCAUGGGUCUAUCCUCUUGAGAAUGUCUUUUAUGAAGGCAAACUGCAGUUCCUGUCACUCAGUGGGCUUCGGGCUGCAAGUGCUGCUCAUCAUUCCACUCCAUUGUCUGUCAGAUCCGAUUUCCCUUUAGUUGUGCUUCUAAUAAGCCUAAGGGCUUACCUCGUAUGACCCAGAUCCUUAUUCCUGAUGGAAAAUGUGUGCUGGUAAUUAUUUACAUAUCAUUCUGGAAUUGCUGCACAUGUCCUCCCACGGUUACAAUUUGGAAUCAAAAUGUUCCCAAAUUGAUCACCUAUGUGUUUUUCUCUGCCUUGUAGCAUUUUGAUUUCUUAUUGAUCUAGCUCAGUUACCACUGCUAAGAUAGGAAAUCCUCGCCUGCUCAUACCUUCAGAGAGUUCACAAUGCCCAAACAGUAGCCAUAACUUAUAGUCUAAUGGGACUCUUGUUGUUCCCUGACAGAAAUUCAUCCAUUUGGAAGCCUUCAGAGUAAAGGGUUAUAGGAAUAGGAAGCAGUCUCCCCUAACGAGUCAGUGGGGUCACUUCUGCUUCCUCUGCCUAGUUCUCCUAACUCAGUAGGAACGCCGCCUUUAGAGGGCCCUGUGUUAGUGGACUUACUGUUUCUUGAAGGAUGGCGCUUAAUCCUUCUGAAGUCCUGCUUCUGAACUGGCACGUCAGCUAAACCAUUAUUACACUGGAAACAAAUGUUAGGGUCGAGAUGAAUUUUAGGGUUGAACAGCAAAGGUCAGGAAAACUGAGGAAGGUAAAUAAGAAGGUUUGCAACUGGGUAUGAAAUAGCCAAGCUGCCCAGAGAAGAGAAAGUGCAGAACUCUGGAAAGAACAAAACCUGGCUCUAGAUGUUUCCGCUGGCCCCAGGAGCCCCACCUUCACCCUUGCAGGAGCAUGUGCAAGACAUCAUUGCCCUUUCGUUAGUAAACAUCCACACUUUAUAGGUAGUUACACCGUCAUAGAUAAGCAUGCAUCUAAUUGUAACAGACUGAAUUGUGGGUAAUGGCUUCUAGGAAAGUUACUUGCUUUAGAAAGGACACCUGCUCAUACUCCACCAAGGAUGGACAAGGGAAGGAAAACUGGUGGACAGAGUCCAGAGGCUGGAGGUUUCCCUUUGCCACUGACACGUGGCUCAGACCACCCUCCCCUCUUUGCCUUCUCACCUGCUGAAGUAAACCCUGGCAGCGCGUUCACUCUAUCUGUCAUUCUUUUCCCCGAGGAACAUAAGAACUGAGCUGGCUGCUGCACUUGACAUUGGAGGGAACGUAGGAGGAGACAUCUUUCCUCAUCCCUAACACCUUCAGUGGGUUCCCUGGUAUUCUAUCAGACUGGAUGGCGCUGUUGAUUCUCCGGUCAGAGUUCACACAUUAUCUUUUUACUUAUUCUUGUUUGGAUGCUCAAUUAAAUUAGAUCCCAUAUCUGUGAUCAGGCCUUCUUUAAGGCUCUGGGUAGCAAUAAUAUAGGCUAAGGCCCUGCAAGGCAGAGCAGCAAAUCCACACCCAGAAUAAGUCUUCAUCCCUGUCAUGAUGGACCACUAGCCACUCCAAAAUUGGGAAAGUCCAUGUUAUUGGUCUGCUGCCAGGUGUCUGAUUGGUCUCAAGUGAUAAUACCAUAUUGGGUACAGUAUAUAGUUCUGUCGCCUGCAGGUUCUUCAGAGAGAGAGAGAGGUAGGGGUUGGCUUUUGUAACUGGGAAUUUUCUGUGGCUCGUGUGUAGCCUCCUGUGAAAACAUGACUGCUCAUGUGUUGUUGUAGUUCUAGACAGUUCUAGAGUAGGCCGUGGCAAAAGCUUGCCUAACACCAACUGAUAGAAUCCUUUGUUCGAUUUUUCUGUUUCUCUUCACGAUGAAUGUUCUAGUCAGAGUGAGUUAUGUCAUUAGUCAUUAAGCAAGACAGGCAUCUUAGGAACAAAAUCCUAUAUGUGAAUGCACCCUUGGGGUACCCUUUGUUUUCUCGCCACUGAGACUUUAUGGCAUAAGCAGAGCAUUCCUUGAGGUAUGUCAGUUGAUCAGUGUGAGCUCACCAUGCUUCAGAAUGUGUUUAUUAUAUCUUCUUUGUAAAGUAUGAGAUUUCACUGAGCUUGCUCAGGAAUGUACUCCUUAACUGAGCAUGCUUAGUACUGGACCACCCCUGACGUGAGUUUGUAUAGGCUCUCUGAAUAAAAUUCCCAUGCUGUCUUUGUCGGAAGAGCUUUGUUUGGGAAGAACUCCUGUGCUCUCUCUUGUCCAUUACAAGUAAUCUUUAUAUAUUGACUGUGUUUAUUUUGGCUUGCACUUAACAAUACGUGAACCCAUUAUAUUUGAUUACAAUAUAAUAAAAAAAAGUCUUUA
Molecule: non-coding RNA, 3797 nt
Organism: Myodes glareolus (Bank vole)
Lineage: Eukaryota; Metazoa; Chordata; Mammalia; Rodentia; Cricetidae
Source: RefSeq, a predicted model, not a curated record